This 495-nucleotide ribosomal RNA is filed under the name uncultured bacterium. RNAcentral describes it as "partial 16S ribosomal RNA". It matches the Rfam family "Bacterial small subunit ribosomal RNA", at positions 28 to 507 of the family's 1533-position model. The record is from RNAcentral.
GAUGAACGCUGGCGGCGUGCCUAAUACAUGCAAGUAGAACGCUGAAGGAGGAGCUUGCUCUUCUGGAUGAGUUGCGAACGGGUGAGUAACGCGUAGGUAACCUGCCUGGUAGCGGGGGAUAACUAUUGGAAACGAUAGCUAAUACCGCAUGACAACAGUUAUUGCAUGAUAACUGUUUAAAAGGGGCAACUGCUCCACUACCAGAUGGACCUGCGUUGUAUUAGCUAGUUGGUGAGGUAACGGCUCACCAAGGCGACGAUACAUAGCCGACCUGAGAGGGGGAGCGGCCACACUGGGACUGAGACACGGCCCAGACUCCUACGGGAGGCAGCAGUAGGGGAUCUUCGGCAAUGGACGGAAGUCUGACCGAGCAACGCCGCGUGAGUGAAGAAGGUUGUCGGAUCGUAAAGCUCUGUUGUAAGAGAAGAACGAGUGUGAGAGUGGAAAGUUCACACUGUGACGGUAUCUUACCAGAAAGGGACGGCUAACUACGUG